Molecule: long non-coding RNA, 367 nt
Organism: Salvelinus namaycush (lake trout)
Lineage: Eukaryota; Metazoa; Chordata; Actinopteri; Salmoniformes; Salmonidae
Exons: 3
Source: RefSeq, a predicted model, not a curated record
UGUUGGAGGUGCACCUGGAGGGAAACACCUCGUUAGAAGCCCAGCUAUUCAUUCAGCUGAAGGGAGACGUCAGGAAAACACCUGUCAUCUUGGUGUCCGGUCCUUCCCUGCUGCAGUUUGAGCCUCAUCAGAUACACCAGUUCAUGGUUUCCGUAGACCCCGCUGUUCGGGAGAUCAGAACCGUGGUACUUCACUUCUACUCUCAACGCCUCUUGUACUUGUCCUGGAGGAAGACGAGGAUUCGCAUCAGUCAUCUAGUACUGACACAACUACCAAGACACCAGGGGCUAGGAUCUUACAGGACCCGGGGUGUUACAGCAGUAGAGAACCAGAGAGUGGAAGUGUAUCUGCAGAAGGAAGAGUGAAG